Molecule: unclassified non-coding RNA, 547 nt
Filed under: Hevea brasiliensis (rubber tree)
Lineage: Eukaryota; Viridiplantae; Streptophyta; Magnoliopsida; Malpighiales; Euphorbiaceae
Source: RNAcentral
AAAAAAAAAUUUAAUUCGAUAUUAUUCUUUAAUUUAGUACAAAACCCCAAUACCCGUCGAAAUCUCUAGUUGGUACCACCACCAAGGAGACAGUACACAAGAUAACAACCAUAUGUCUCUAUUUCAUCCUUCUUGACCUUUCACUUCACCCACGUCUGAAUGACAAUGAAAGCCCAUUCACAAUCCAAUAUGCCUCUUUCGUUUGCCCACACACUUCACCAAAAUUUUCUCAGAUCGAUGGGAUUGCAACCAACUUUACAUAUAUGCAAACAUGAAUUAUUACCUUUCUUUUCUUUCUUUCUUAUUGUUUUCAAGGGAUGCUUUAAUUCUCUAGACAUGCUUAUAUAGAAGAUGCUCAGAAAGACAAUCUUGCUUAUACUUCGGGAUUAUUUUAAUUUGUUCUUUUUCAUGUGUGUUCCAUGGCAUGAAAAAAUGACGAUAAUUAAGUUGGAAAGAAAUUUGAUAAGUGAUCUGGUUUUGCAAUUCGUUCCAUCAAAUACUUUGGAAUUGUGUUGUAUUUCUACCAAUAAGUUUGGAUGUAUAUGAG